Molecule: ribosomal RNA, 497 nt
Filed under: uncultured bacterium
Lineage: Bacteria
Description: partial 16S ribosomal RNA
Rfam family: Bacterial small subunit ribosomal RNA
Source: RNAcentral
GAUGAACGCUGGCGGCGUGCCUAAUACAUGCAAGUCGAGCGAACAGACGAGGAGCUUGCUCCUCUGACGUUAGCGGCGGACGGGUGAGUAACACGUGGAUAACCUACCUAUAAGACUGGGAUAACUUCGGGAAACCGGAGCUAAUACCGGAUAAUAUAUUGAACCGCAUGGUUCAAUAGUGAAAGACGGUUUUGCUGUCACUUAUAGAUGGAUCCGCGCCGCAUUAGCUAGUUGGUAAGGUAACGGCUUACCAAGGCGACGAUGCGUAGCCGACCUGAGAGGGUGAUCGGACACACUGGAACUGAGACACGGUCCAGACUCCGACGGGAGGCAGCAGUAGGGAAUCUUCCGAAAUGGGCGAAAGCCUGACGGAGCAACGCCGCGUGAGUGAUGAAGGUCUUCGGAUCGUAAAACUCUGUUAUUAGGGAAGAAAAAAUGUGUAAGUAACUAUGCACGUCUUGACGGUACCUAAUCAGAAAGCCACGGCUAACCACGUG